GCGCCUUUAGUAUAGCGGUAGUACUGCCCAACCGCGCGGGCGAGGACAGGUUCAAUUCCUGUAAGGCGCACCU
Molecule: transfer RNA, 73 nt
Filed under: Priestia megaterium
Lineage: Bacteria; Bacillati; Bacillota; Bacilli; Caryophanales; Bacillaceae
Description: Bacillus megaterium tRNA-OTHER
Rfam family: tRNA
About the family: Transfer RNA (tRNA) molecules are approximately 80 nucleotides in length. Their secondary structure includes four short double-helical elements and three loops (D, anti-codon, and T loops). Further hydrogen bonds mediate the characteristic L-shaped molecular structure. tRNAs have two regions of fundamental functional importance: the anti-codon, which is responsible for specific mRNA codon recognition, and the 3' end, to which the tRNAs corresponding amino acid is attached (by aminoacyl-tRNA synthetases). tRNAs cope with the degeneracy of the genetic code in two manners: having more than one tRNA (with a specific anti-codon) for a particular amino acid; and 'wobble' base-pairing, i.e. permitting non-standard base-pairing at the 3rd anti-codon position.
Source: RNAcentral